This 605-nucleotide ribosomal RNA is filed under the name uncultured bacterium. Its description in RNAcentral is "bacterial SSU rRNA". The stretch from base 1 to 518 matches the Rfam family "Bacterial small subunit ribosomal RNA", at positions 338 to 873 of the family's 1533-position model. The record is from RNAcentral.
CCUACGGGAGGCAGCAGUGGGGAAUAUUGGACAAUGGGCGAAAGCCUGAUCCAGCAAUGCCGCGUGAGUGAUGAAGGCCUUAGGGUUGUAAAGCUCUUUUACCAGGGAUGAUAAUGACAGUACCUGGAGAAUAAGCUCCGGCUAACUCCGUGCCAGCAGCCGCGGUAAUACGGAGGGAGCUAGCGUUGUUCGGAAUUACUGGGCGUAAAGCGUACGUAGGCGGUUAUUCAAGUCAGAGGUGAAAGCCUGGAGCUCAACUCCAGAACUGCCUUUGAAACUAGGUAGCUAGAAUCACGGAGAGGUUAGUGGAAUUCCGAGUGUAGAGGUGAAAUUCGUAGAUAUUCGGAAGAACACCAGUGGCGAAGGCGACUAACUGGACGUGUAUUGACGCUGAGGUACGAAAGCGUGGGGAGCAAACAGGAUUAGAUACCCUGGUAGUCCACGCCGUAAACGAUGAUAACUAGCUGUUCGGUCUCUACGAGACUGAGUGGCGCAGCUACGCAUUAAGUUAUUCCGUCCGUCGGGUAGGUACGGUCGCGAAGAAUUAAACUACAAGAAGUUAGACGGCGUGAGACGUGCCGACGGACGACGACGAGGGAGGUAGG